RNAcentral lists this ribosomal RNA (301 nucleotides) under uncultured bacterium. RNAcentral's name for it is "partial 16S ribosomal RNA". It matches the Rfam family "Bacterial small subunit ribosomal RNA", at positions 509 to 807 of the family's 1533-position model. The record is from RNAcentral.
CAGCAGCCGCGGUAAUAUGUAGGGUGCGAGCGUUAAUCGGAAUUACUGGGCGUAAAGCGUGCGCAGGCGGUUUUGUAAGACAGGCGUGAAAUCCCCGGGCUCAACCUGGGAAUGGCGCUUGUGACUGCAAAGCUAGAGUGCGGCAGAGGGGGAUGGAAUUCCGCGUAUAGCAGUGAAAUGCGUAGAUAUGCGGAGGAACACCGAUGGCGAAGGCAAUCCCCUGGGCCUGCACUGACGCUCAUGCACGAAAGCGUGGGGAGCAAACAGGAUUAGAUACCCCUGUAGUCCCUGUCUCUUAUAC